Molecule: long non-coding RNA, 288 nt
Filed under: Rattus norvegicus (Norway rat)
Lineage: Eukaryota; Metazoa; Chordata; Mammalia; Rodentia; Muridae
Description: long non-coding RNA NONRATT025678
Source: RNAcentral
CUCAACCUUCUGCAGCCCUGGUACCCACUCCUGCCGCCUGCCUGGCAAUCACUCGCUCCUCUGCACCAUGCUGUGGCGGGGUAGCCAGGCGCUACGGCACUUCUCCACCGGCCGGCAACCUUUGUCACUAUACUCGUCCACAGGUUUAUUUCAAAAACAAGUUGAAGUUGGCACUUAUUGGCCAGAGCCUGUUUGGACAGGAAGUCUACAGCCACCUCCUGAAAGAGGGUCACCGAGUAGUGGGAGUGUUCACAGUGCCAGACAAGGAUGGAAAGGCCGAUCCACUGG